Small nucleolar RNA from Panicum virgatum (switchgrass), 139 nucleotides. RefSeq annotates it as small nucleolar RNA Z247. Lineage: Eukaryota; Viridiplantae; Streptophyta; Magnoliopsida; Poales; Poaceae. The transcript has a single exon. The record is from RefSeq and is a predicted model, not a curated record.
CCCCUCGCCGAGGAUGAACUCGUCGAGUACAUCCUUACCGGCUUGAAUGGAGAAUUUGAGUCGCUGGUCUCCUCCCUCAUCACCAGGGUCGAGCCUGUCUCACUUGAGGAGUUAUACUCCCAAUUGCUAACCUUCGAGA